This 320-nucleotide ribosomal RNA is filed under the name uncultured eukaryote. RNAcentral's name for it is "partial 18S ribosomal RNA". It matches the Rfam family "Eukaryotic small subunit ribosomal RNA", at positions 1470 to 1796 of the family's 1831-position model. The record is from RNAcentral.
CCCCUAGAUGUUCUGGGCCGCACGCGCGCUACACUGAACAGUUCAACAAGUCUUAACCUUGGCCGAUAGGUCUGGGUAAUCUUUGAACGCUGUUCGUGAUUGGGAUAGACCUUUGCAAUUAUGGGUUUUCAACGAGGAAUUCCUAGUAAACGCAAGUCAUCAGCUUGCAUUGAUUACGUCCCUGCCCUUUGUACACACCGCCCGUCGCACCUACCGAUUGAAUGGUCCGGUGAAAUCUCGGGACGGCGGCUUGGUCGCUUGCGUCCGACUGCUGAAACUUGAUUAAACCAUAUCAUUUAGAGGAAGGUGAAGUCGUAACA